This 310-nucleotide unclassified non-coding RNA is filed under the name plant metagenome. RNAcentral's name for it is "partial contains 5.8S ribosomal RNA, internal transcribed spacer 2, and large subunit ribosomal RNA". The stretch from base 1 to 105 matches the Rfam family "5.8S ribosomal RNA", at positions 50 to 154 of the family's 154-position model. The record is from RNAcentral.
GAAAUGCGAUAAGUAAUGUGAAUUGCAGAAUCCAGUGAAUCAUCGAAUCUUUGAACGCACAUUGUGCCCGCCAGCAUUCUGGCGGGCAUGCCUGUUCGAGCGUCAUUUCAACCCUCGACCUCCCCUUGGGGAGGUCGGCGUUGGGGACCGGCAGCACACCGCCGGCCCUGAAAUGGAGUGGCGGCCCGUCCGCGGCGACCUCUGCGUAGUAAUACAGCUCGCACCGGAACCCCGACGCGGCCACGCCGUAAAACACCCAACUUCUGAACGUUGACCUCGAAUCAGGUAGGACUACCCGCUGAACUUAAGC